AUACUUAGGGUGCGAGCGUUAAUCGGAAUUACUGGGCGUAAAGCGAGUGUAGGCGGCUAUAUAAGUCGGAUGUGAAAGCCCCGGGCUCAACCUGGGAAUUGCAUUCGAAACUGUAUAGCUAGAGUUUGGUAGAGGUAAGUGGAAUUCAGGGUGUAGCGGUGAAAUGCGUAGAUAUCCUGAGGAACAUCAGUGGCGAAGGCGGCUUACUGGACCAAAACUGACGCUGAGGCUCGAAAGCGUGGGGAGCAAACAGGAUUAGAAACCCCAGUAGUCC
RNAcentral lists this ribosomal RNA (274 nucleotides) under uncultured bacterium. Its description in RNAcentral is "partial 16S ribosomal RNA". It matches the Rfam family "Bacterial small subunit ribosomal RNA", at positions 523 to 796 of the family's 1533-position model. The record is from RNAcentral.